Molecule: ribosomal RNA, 17 nt
Filed under: Saprolegnia bulbosa
Lineage: Eukaryota; Oomycota; Saprolegniomycetes; Saprolegniales; Saprolegniaceae
Description: partial 28S ribosomal RNA
Source: RNAcentral
UUUGGACCUGAUAUCAA